This 468-nucleotide ribosomal RNA is filed under the name uncultured bacterium. RNAcentral's name for it is "partial 16S ribosomal RNA". It matches the Rfam family "Bacterial small subunit ribosomal RNA", at positions 28 to 507 of the family's 1533-position model. The record is from RNAcentral.
GACGAACGCUGGCGGCGUGCUUAACACAUGCAAGUCGAACGGAAAGGCCCUGCUUUUGUGGGGUGCUCGAGUGGCGAACGGGUGAGUAACACGUGAGUAACCUGCCCCUGACUUUGGGAUAACUUCAGGAAACUGGGGCUAAUACCGGAUAGGAGCUCCUGCUGCAUGGUGGGGGUUGGUAAGUUUCGGCGGUUGGGGAUGGACUCGCGGCUUAUCCGCUUGUUGGUGGGGUAGUGGCUUACCAAGGUUUUGACGGGUAGCCGGCCUGAGAGGGUGACCGGCCACAUUGGGACUGAGAUACGGCCCAGACUCCUACGGGAGGCAGCAGUGGGGAAUAUUGCACAGUGGGCGGAAGCCUGAUGCAGCAACGCCGCGUGCGGGAUGACGGCCUUCGGGUUGUAAACCGCUUUCGCCUGUGACGAAGCGUGAGUGACGGUAAUGGGUAAAGAAGCACCGGCUAACUACGUG